Non-coding RNA from Podarcis lilfordi (Lilford's wall lizard), 3243 nucleotides. Lineage: Eukaryota; Metazoa; Chordata; Lepidosauria; Squamata; Lacertidae. The record is from the annotation of a GenBank genome assembly.
GCUCAUACCUUGAAAACUUACGUAGAGUUGAUCUUUAAGGUGCCACUGGAAUUAUUAAAAAAGAUUUUUUCAUCUUGUUAUUUAUUAUGACUAUGACAGAUCAACAUGGCCUUCCACCUGAAUCUGGUGUCAUUCGUAGUUGACCUCUCCCACGCACACUGUCUUAGGCGACUUAUUCCGGUUUUCAACUUCGGCUUUUGAUCUCAAAACGUUCUGUUUAUCACAGCUGAUUCCUCUGUUCGUCUUGAUUGGAAUCGGAGGGACCGGCCUGUGCACCAUGCGCCUUGCUCUUCGCAACCCUGAUGUCAGGUAAGUGCCACCCCUCAGGGCAGGAUCAGCCCUUGGCCUGGUGCUGACAACUGCCAUCCCCGCAAAACCACGUCACGUGCUCCCCGCCUCCCAGUGGCGCUGGGUGUCCUUCACUGAUGGAUGCGAGGCAGCGCUUUGGAAUGGGACCUCAGCUGGACUCCCAUCCGUGGCAGCUGCCCACUACUUUACGCAACUCAGAAUUAAUCACAGGGAUCCGUGGCCUGAGAGGAUGGGAGUGAGCUUGGCUUCUUUUCAGAAGCGACACUGCCACUGAAGAGCAUCUGGGGACCCAGUGCCAGGGACUGGUGGCCUGGCUGGGCCAGGCUGAUAAGCACCCUUCCAAGCUCCUUGGGGGCAGAGCUUUUGCCACUUCUUUAAGUGUUGCAUCUUAAAGCGCAACCUGAAUAAAAUAUGACCUGCUGUGCUCCAGAGGUAGCAUAAUAAUAAUAGUUAUAAAACAAAUUAUAAAACCACAGUAAAACAUGAGUGUCAGCUUCUUAGCUUUAGAGUAAGAAAGCCAACCAUAUAAGCAUUGCCAUUCCUCAGCCGAGUUGUAUCCAAGGCAUUGCAAUGAGCGGUACAGCAUAGCUAAAAGGGUAUUUGGGAAGAGAGUAAAGCCAAUGAACUGUCUCAGCAGAAAGCACAAAGUCUAUCAGGAACCUGUCAUGGAGAAAGUGUAGGAUUGGGUUGCCAGCAUCGAGUUCUGUCCAGCACUGCCUCACCAACUUGCCGCUGUCUCUGGUGCAAGGCAGUGAGAAGCUGCCCUUGCAUUUAUGUAACUGUGUGUUAACUGGCUUUAAAGGGCUUUUACAAAUACUUGGGGUACGGUGGCCUUUUUUUACAUCCCACAUUAUAAAAGAAGUGUGCUCUUCUGGUGGCACUGAGGAGGCCAUGAUUGUUAAAUUUGGUGGGAACCAUGUGCCAACAGUUGGGCAGAGCGUUACGCUUUAUGCUGUAUGUUUUUCUUCUUCUUCCAAAGAUGUACUCCUUGCUGUCUGCCUCUUGUCACGUUGCUCUGCCUGGCUGGGACAAAAAGAGCAACCCAGAGCCUUGGAACAAGCUGUGACCCAACGACCAGUUCAAGGUAUGGUAGGAAAUACUUAACUAGGGUUAUGAUGCUGGUUAUCUUAUAGGCCAGGGAUGGGGAGCCUGGUGUCCAGCAGAGAUUGUUGGGACUCCAACUCCCAUCAGCCCCAUCCCUGAAAUCUACGGAAGAUGGGUAAUAAUAAUAAUAAUAAUAAUAAUAAUAAUAAUGGCCAUUUGGUGGGAGGAAUAAUAAGCUUCAGCUUUGGAAGGCCUGGUGUGUGUGAUCACAGCAUUUGGGGUUGGACUAGAUGACCCUUGGGUUCCUUCUAUGAUUCUUCAUUCUCCUCUCCAGUGCAAUCUUCUAAACUCUGACUGAAUAAGCAGGAUAGAUCCCUGAGUUUCUGCCAUUGACUUGUGGUUCUUCCUGCAAAAUUGCUUUUAAGCCCAUUAAAGUUGAAUGAUUAGAGAUCCUUUCCUGCCACUUCCGAGUCACCUUCAAUGGUAGCCCCACGUAGAGCGCAUGGUAGUAGUCCAAGCUGGAGAUAACGCUUAACCGUGCUGCCCUCUUUCAGUUCUAUGCGGUGAAUGCAGACUAUGACAAGCUGAAAAAAGGAGCGCCCAGAUAUCUGAAGAGCAAAUGAAUCUGGGAGCUAUAGUUUGGGUCUUUGGGUUUGAUGCUUUGUAACUGGAUCUGUAAUGGCUUUUAGUCAAAUACAACAAAUGAAUGAUUGACUGACUGACUGACUGACUGAUGGAAAAGUGCUUUUUUACUGAGAUGCUAACUUUCUCUCUGCAUGCCAUUCCUUGAACAGCAAAGAUAAGGCUUGCUUUCAUUGCUCUGUUCAUUGGUGCAUUUGACUAGUGUUAUGUGGAGGGAAAUGCAGCCCCUGGGCUGAAAAAUGUCCCCCUCCUGCCCCCUUGGGUGUCCGGUGUGGCCUUCACAGAUAUAGACACAACUUGGGGGAGGGUGUUUUGGCUGCUGAGCUGCGCCCCCCCCCAUUGUGAGGGCUGAGGGUGUGAUGGUGAUGCCUCCCCAGCUGCUGCCAUUGUCUGUGGGUUGACUGUGAUGCCACAAAAACAUAAAUGUGGGCCAAGGCGCAAGCCUCAGCAGUUGCCCUCCCCAGAGAGAAAUGGGCAGCUUGGUGGCACUCAGCCCUGGUGGUCUCCUGCCCCGUGGCAGCAAGCUGACAAGUGGAAGGAGGCAAUCGCCUGGUGCUGGGAUGCUGUGGAGCAAGGAGAAGGCAAGUACAAAGUUGACUUGCUGGUGGGAUCGCUACCUGAAGGCGACGGAUAUUCAGCUCUGAAGCUGGUUGAUGUCUGGCAAUGGACCUGGCAAGGCUGCAGCUGGUGGGUGGUUGUUGGAAGAGUCUGCGUUCAGGCUAGUGGAUGCCGUGAGGCAGAGAUGGAUGCAAAGUGGUUUGGAAGCCUUAUUUGUUAACAGGCAGCCAAACAGAGGAGGAGUCUGGAGGGACACUGUUGGAUAGGGGCCAUCCCACUCACCUGUUUGCCUUUGCCUUACAGGGAUGUCCGGAGCCAGUGAGGUUUUCCCCAAGUCCAGCCUUCAAAAUCAUGAAGAGAACCGCAGGAUGUCCCUAUUUACAUUGGAGAAAUGAAUGUGAAAUACUGGCAGCGAACAAUGGACAAGGCCGUGGCCGUACCUGAGAGAAGGAGCUUUGAAGGGAGACUGCAGGCGGACAUCUGCUGCAUUGCAAGUGAUGGGGCAGUGGGGAGAGAGAAGAAAAUGAGGGAGGAUACAUUAGGGCACAUUAGGCGCACCGUCCAUUGGAAGUGCUAUGAAGACGCUUUGAACAGGAAUGGCUUCCCCUCAGGGAUUCUGGGAACUGUAGGUGGUUAAGGGGACAGAGAGUUGUUAGGCGGGUUAGGUUUAGGCUUAGGGUUAGGCUUAGG